GUACACACCGCCCGUCACACCAUGGGAGUCGGUUGCUCCAGAAGUGGCUGAGCCAACCCGCAAGGGAGGCAGGUCCCCAAGGAGUGGCUGGUAACUGGGGUGAAGUCGUAACAAGGUAGCCGUAGGUAACCUGCAGAAGGAUCA
Molecule: ribosomal RNA, 144 nt
Filed under: uncultured eukaryote
Lineage: Eukaryota
Description: partial small subunit ribosomal RNA
Rfam family: Bacterial small subunit ribosomal RNA
Source: RNAcentral